CAGUCGCCACGGUAAUACAGAGGGUGCGAGCGUUAAUCGGAAUUACUGGGCGUAAAGCGUGCGCAGGCGGUUAUAUAAGACAGAUGUGAAAUCCCCGGGCUCAACCUGGGAACUGCAUUUGUGACUGUAUAGCUAGAGUACGGCAGAGGGGGAUGGAAUUCCGCGUGUAGCAGUGAAAUGCGUAGAUAUGCGGAGGAACACCGAUGGCGAAGGCAAUCCCCUGGGCCUGUACUGACGCUCAUGCACGAAAGCGUGGGGAGCAAACAGGAUUAGAUACCCCCGUAGUCCCUGUCUCUUAUAC
RNAcentral lists this ribosomal RNA (301 nucleotides) under uncultured bacterium. Its description in RNAcentral is "partial 16S ribosomal RNA". It matches the Rfam family "Bacterial small subunit ribosomal RNA", at positions 509 to 807 of the family's 1533-position model. The record is from RNAcentral.